RNAcentral lists this ribosomal RNA (385 nucleotides) under uncultured Serratia sp. RNAcentral describes it as "bacterial SSU rRNA". It matches the Rfam family "Bacterial small subunit ribosomal RNA", at positions 348 to 736 of the family's 1533-position model. Lineage: Bacteria; Pseudomonadati; Pseudomonadota; Gammaproteobacteria; Enterobacterales; Yersiniaceae. The record is from RNAcentral.
GCAGCAGUGGGGAAUAUUGCACAAUGGGCGCAAGCCUGAUGCAGCCCUGCCGCGUGUGUGAAGAAGGCCUUCGGGUUGUAAAGCACUUUCAGCGAGGAGGAAGGGGUGAACUUAAUACGUUCACAAUUGACGUUACUCGCAGAAGAAGCCCGGCUAAUCCUGCCGCGCCGCGGUAAUACGGAGGGUGCAAGCGUUAAUCGGAAUUACUGGGCGUAAAGGCACGCAGGCGGUUUGUUAAGUCAGAUGUGAAAUCCCCGGGCUCAACCGGGAACUGCAUUUGAAACUGGCAAGCUAGAGUUCGUAGAGGGGGGUAGAAUUCCAGGUGUAGCGGUGAAAUGCGUAGAGAUCUGGAGAAUACCGGUGGCGAAGGCGGCCCCCUGGACGA